AUUGUUCAUGAAAAGCAUUGGAUAAUUGUUUGCGCAAACUUGCUAUACAAGAAGUGGAAUGUAUUUGACUCAAUCCAUUCAAAAGGAAAACAAUCUCCUUUGAAGAAGCAGGCCAAUAACCUGAUCACAAACUUUGCAGCCCUCGCAUAAGAGUACAGUGAAUUCAAUGUCAAUGUUGGAUCCUUCGCCCGUGUUGACCUAGAGGAUUACCCAAAGCAAGAUAAUCUAUGUGAUUGUGGCUUUUUCGGGCUCAAAUAUGUGGAGAAUUUUGAUGGGAAGUCAAUGAAAGAGUUCAAGCAGGAAGACGUGGCGCGAUACCGCAUGAAAGUGGCGCACAACCUUUGCACUCACCCAAUGAACAAUGCCCCAAUGGAGCGGACAUUCAAGGAAGAGUUGGCGGCUUAAUUUGCGGGAGGGUUCAAGACGAUCAAGCUCGUUUCUUUCGUUCGGUCUAGAAUCAUGUCUGAGGUGGUAG
This is a long non-coding RNA of Triticum aestivum (bread wheat), 475 nucleotides long. RefSeq lists it as uncharacterized. Lineage: Eukaryota; Viridiplantae; Streptophyta; Magnoliopsida; Poales; Poaceae. The record is from RefSeq and is a predicted model, not a curated record. The transcript has 4 exons.